CUGCACCCCCAACUGAACUAAGAGGAGGCUUCACAGUUACCACACACAUUAGGAUUGGCAGCAUUAGAUGGAGGAGUGAAUGGAAAAUCCAUUCUACUAAGCAAUUUAUUCCCUCUCAGCCGUCAUUGGAAGGAGUAUUUUCACACACAUGCAGUGGCUCUCAAGACGGAAGCAGCUAGUGGAGGAAAUGAGGCAGGCGUGUCUGUGAUAAAAGGGUCAGUUUGAUGAGGUAGUGAGCACCUUGAUUUCCGCCUUGUGACCUUGAUUAGCACAUCCAAUCACUCCGGGCCUCAGUUUCCUUAUCUGAAAUACUGAGAAGGGGAACCCUACUUCCUUGGAGUGGUUUGAAGAUACACCACUCAGCAAUGCCUGGGCACCCACUAAACAUCAUGGUCCCCCAAGUGACUAAGUCCGAAUCCAGGUUUCACACAUAGAUGGUUAUCUAGACCAAACAGGUCUCUUGCUUGCUAGCCUGCAUGCCAAGCCCGCUGCUGUCUCCCAGAUAGCCCAGAAAAACACCGGGUCUUGAAGGCACCUUAGCAGUUCAGACUCAGACCCAGGACAGGAGCACCUGCCACCUCCUGGGAGGACCAGUCCCAGCCUCACCCUGCACUCUUUCCAAGGCUGCUGUUCUCUUCCUGGCUGGUGUGAAUGAAGAAGUCACAGCAGAAGGCAGACCUUACAGAGAAUCAGACCUGUGUGGGACCUGCAGGGGACCUCUACAGUAUCUCCUGCAGAGCCGAGCGACUCCCUCCAUGAAGACUUUGAGCUUGUGAGAGGAAGGAGAGGCCGCUGAGGCUUUUCCUGGGGGGGGGGGGGUCUGCAAAUGGGGCUUUUUCUCCAUUCAUUUAUUCAUCUAUAUUGUUGAACCCCCUACGGACCAUUCCAAUCAGAAACCAGGCAGGGCCCCCAGACAGCACUUUUCUAGAGAAAACGGCCGUCAUUCCUAAGCCCCAGGCAGCAGUUAUGUUCUGACAUUUCCCAGCAAAUUUGAAAUCAACAUCUCCGAGUGUGCCCCCAGUUUUUAUGGGUGAUGGCAGCUCAACAACCCACUUUCUUCAGCGCUAACUCCUCACUUUGGGGGAUAAUUUGACAUUUCAUUUGGUCAGGGAGUUCAGUGCUUAAAAUAUACAAAACCUCAGAGUGUCUGUCUAUUCCAGGCCCAGCCGUUUGCAGGUCUCACUAUUCCAGAAACCUGAGAGCCAGUGGGAAAGCAUGAUUUGAGAGUGUGUCUCAGUCAUGGUUUAUAGUAUAGUAACACAGCAAAAACAAACCAAUACAAAACCUAGUGCUUUCAUCGUGUGUGUGUGUGUGUGUGUGUGUGUGUGUGUGUGUGUGUGUGUGUGUGUUCAUGGGGUGUAUGUAUAUGUGUACGGGAGUGUAUGUGCACACUUGUGCAGAGGUCAAAGGUUGAUAGGUCUAUGUCUGGUAUGUCUUCUGACACACUCUGCCUCUAUCUUUUGAGCCAGGGUCUCACACUGGAACCUAAGUUCAUCAAUUUGGCUAGAAUGCUUGGCCAAUGAACCUCAGAAAUGUGCCUGUUUUUGUCCCACCCACCCCACCUCUCCUGCUGGCAAGCACCACUAUAUCUGUUUUUUUUUUAAAAAAAAAAUAUGGGUUAUAUGUUUGUAUGAGAAGCACCCUACAAACUGAGCUCUCUUCCCAGCCCCUGGACUCAGUACACUGAUGAGAUCUAAAUGUCCACAUUCAUGCAGCAGUACUCAAAAUAGCUAGAAUAUGGUUCGAUCUAAAUGUUCCACAACAGAUGGAUAAACUGUAGUAUAUAUACACACAGUAGAAUACUGUAUUAAAUCAUAAGAAGAAUGAAACGCUGUCAUUUGUGGCACCCUCGAUGAGUCUGGAGGACGUUACAUUAAUGGAAAUGAGGCAGACACAGGAUAUUAAUCAGGGAUCUCUAGAAGAGCAGAGCUGAUAGAGUAAGUAUAUUUUAAAAGGGUUAUUCAGAUUGGCUAUGUAAUAUGGUCUGGGCAGUCAAACAAGGACUACCUUGCAUCAGAAAGACUGAGUGAGACCCCAGCCGUUGCUCAGUCCAUGAGGCUGAAUGUCUCAGCCAUCCCAAGCUGGUGCUGAAGGCCCAUUGGAUUUCUGCAGGGCUGCCCCCUACUCCACAUUGGAAGUCAAAGCUGGGUCCUAGUAUCAGUGAAGGAUGCGGUAGAGCCAACAAAGUAGAUGAACUUGCCAACAAGAGUGAAGGCAAGCAGGUAAAAAGUAAAAAGCAAACAACAACAAAUCAGGAGGACCACUAACAUUCAGAAUAGGUCUCCCCACUUCAAAUAAUCUGAUCAAGAAAAUUCCUCACAGCAGUUCCUAGAGGCCUCCCCUUAGUUGAUUCCAGGUUGAACCAACCGCCACACAUAAUUAGUUAAACACUGUGUGGAAUCUAGAGAUGCUGGAGUAGAAAAUACAAUUGUACACAGCAACAGGACAGGAGAGGACAGGGUGAGGAAAGCCCCAAGGUUCAAAGUUACAGUCAGGAGGAAUCAUUGCUAGGCUUCUGUGGCACAGUUGAACGGCUACACGCAACAAUAUCACAAUGCAUAUUUCAAAAUACGUGGAAGGCAAUGGGGACCAACAUUGCCUCCCCUUCCUCUCUCCCUCCUCCCCUCUCUCUUUCUGUCUUCCUUUCUUUCAACAGGUUCUUUCUAUGUAUCCCAGGCUAGCCUAAAAUUUCCAACCCUCCUGUAUCAGCCUGCUGAGUGUGGAUGCCAGGAGAGAGAAUUUCAAAUGUGUUUUACCACCAAAAAAAAAAAAUGUUUGAAGUAGUGGGUAUGUCUGAUCAGAUGGUAGUGUCAUGCAUGUGAGCAUCAAACGUCACCCUGGGUACUAUACACAUGUGCAAUGAUCAUGAGUGAUUAAAACAAAUUUGCAAGAUCA
Molecule: long non-coding RNA, 2895 nt
Organism: Peromyscus californicus insignis
Lineage: Eukaryota; Metazoa; Chordata; Mammalia; Rodentia; Cricetidae
Exons: 2
Source: RefSeq, a predicted model, not a curated record